UACGUAGGGUGCGAGCGUUGUCCGGAAUUAUUGGGCGUAAAGAGCUCGUAGGCGGUUUGUCGCGUCUGCUGUGAAAACUCGGGGCUCAACUCCGAGCUUGCAGUGGGUACGGGCAGACUAGAGUGCGGUAGGGGAGACUGGAAUUCCUGGUGUAGCGGUGGAAUGCGCAGAUAUCAGGAGGAACACCGGUGGCGAAGGCGGGUCUCUGGGCCGUAACUGACGCUCAGGCACGAAAGCGUGGGGAGCAAACAGG
This 253-nucleotide ribosomal RNA is filed under the name uncultured bacterium. RNAcentral describes it as "partial 16S ribosomal RNA". It matches the Rfam family "Bacterial small subunit ribosomal RNA", at positions 524 to 776 of the family's 1533-position model. The record is from RNAcentral.